Lepisosteus oculatus (spotted gar) is the source of this 389-nucleotide long non-coding RNA. RefSeq lists it as uncharacterized. The record is from RefSeq and is a predicted model, not a curated record. NCBI's taxonomy places the organism in Eukaryota, Metazoa, Chordata, Actinopteri, Semionotiformes, Lepisosteidae.
UUGUGAUUCUUUUUUAUUUGUUUUUAUUUGAACGUAGAUUAAAUUUAAAUAAUGUAAUUAUGUAGUGUAAACCUCGCAGGGGGAAAGGGGUAAAACACGCAUUUUCGUUGGGAGCUAGAUAACAUUUUUAUUUUUGGUGUCUGCGGGCAGGACAUGCUUGGCUCAGCUUCUGGAAUUACCGAUGAAAUGCAACGAAGUUCCAGUCUUCAUUCCGGUCGCUGCCUCGGAGAAACAGUAACGUGCUGUAUGUUUCUGUGUUUUUCCUUGUAGUUGCAUUCAAAUGUUUUUGUACUUUUUGUACUUUGUAGACUUGUAAAAGCGUUAACCAUUAAUGUAGCCGUGCUUUGACACUUUGUAAUUGAAAUGCAUGUUCAUUUUCACUUCGAAGC